AUGGCAUCCCCCGCAAGGCUCUUCAAGUUGAACAAGGAGUUGGUUCCUAACCAAAAGGGUGUCAUCAUUGCAACAGAAUUUGGAGGCAUUCUGGACCUUGAAGCAAGUAGCAUGCCUGGAGAUCUUAGCCAAUGGAUAAUGAAGCAUUAUGACCCUGAGAUUUCACAGAUAGUCAUUCCAGAAAGGGGGAAGAUUCUUGUAGAUGCCGCAAGUGUCCGUAGGAUAUGGGGCUUGCCAAAUAGGGGGAGGAAGGCGUGCUUUGAUAAUCAGCCUGAAAUCACAAAGGCAAUGUACAAUACUUACAAUAUCACCUCCAAGAACUCCUCAACUCUCACAGCAUGGUGCAAGAUGAUCAAAGAUAUCGGAGGAUCUUAUGAUGAUGACUUUGUCCGUGCUUGGCUAGUUCUUGUUUUUUCGUGCUUCCUUGCCCCUUCCACUAGUUUAAGUAUUUCCCCGAAAAACUUCCUGGCGGUCAUGGAUGUCAAUGGAAUAAUGGAAACCAAUAUAUGCCAGUUUGUUGUUGAUCAACUAAAGCUUGCAUUCACUUUGGGUUGUGGCAACAAGAAGGCUAUUUGUUGUUAUGUUUUCUACCUUGUUCAGUUGUAUCUAUACUCAUUGGAUGUUGGUGAGCCAAUCCCUAACUUGGUACCAAGGGUUUCAGUUUGGAAUUCAGAUUUAAUUGCCAAAGUAAUUAAGAAGGACCGGGAGGCUUCGGGAGAAUACGGCAAUUUGCGGCUUAAGAUGGAGUUUUCUCGGUGUGUGGAUGAUAGCUUGUUUGGCAGUAUGGACCACAUCACCAAAUUUGUUGCCACAAGAUUGCCCGAGUCUUACGACAAAAUAAAGCAAAAGAAGCUCAUAGGGUUGGUGCACAAAAUGUGUUUCGUAAUUUCACAUGCAGUGGGGAAGCUCGUGACUAGGAUUGGGAGGAUUGAUGAUGAUUAA
Molecule: ribosomal RNA, 942 nt
Filed under: Triticum aestivum (bread wheat)
Lineage: Eukaryota; Viridiplantae; Streptophyta; Magnoliopsida; Poales; Poaceae
Description: partial small subunit ribosomal RNA
Source: RNAcentral